GGAGGAUCCGAGCGUUAUCCGGAUUUAUUGGGUUUAAAGGGAGCGUAGGAGGACAGUUAAGUCAGUUGUGAAAGUUUGCGGCUCAACCGUAAAAUUGCAGUUGAUACUGGCUGUCUUGAGUACAGUAGAGGUGGGCGGAAUUCGUGGUGUAGCGGUGAAAUGCUUAGAUAUCACGAAGAACUCCGAUUGCGAAGGCAGCUCACUGGACUGCAACUGACACUGAUGCUCGAAAGUGUGGGUAUCAAACAGGAUUAGAUACCCUGGUAGUCCACACAGUAAACGAUGAAUACUCGCCGUUUGCGAUAUACAGUAAGCGGCCAAGCGAAAGCAUUAAGUAUUCCACCUGGGGAGUACGCCGGCAACGGUGAAACUCAAAGG
This 378-nucleotide ribosomal RNA is filed under the name uncultured bacterium. RNAcentral describes it as "bacterial SSU rRNA". It matches the Rfam family "Bacterial small subunit ribosomal RNA", at positions 527 to 907 of the family's 1533-position model. The record is from RNAcentral.